Molecule: long non-coding RNA, 668 nt
Filed under: Cyanistes caeruleus (blue tit)
Lineage: Eukaryota; Metazoa; Chordata; Aves; Passeriformes; Paridae
Description: lncRNA (ENSCCEG00000016357.1)
Source: RNAcentral
AUCUCAUCUACAGCCAGUAUGUGCACCGGCCCAAGCUGAGGAUUUAUGAGGAGGAUUGCCAGGACCUGUCUCAGAAAAUAGCGGAGUUAAAACCACAUGUGACUGUCCUGGAUCAGCCCUUGGUGAACGUGAUCAGGAGUUUGUGGGAAGUAAUGAGAACCUGCACUGAUGAAGAGCUGAGUAAGUUUGGAGCAGAACUGAACAAGAUGAAAUCCUGUUUCACCAAAGAGGCUAAAAUCUUAUCUCACAGUGAGAAGGAGACAUUGUACAGGAAACUGCUACAGAGUGCUGAGGUAAAGAACCACAGGGUUGCAGGCAUUUACCUUUAAAAAAUCACUUCUACCACAUUUAUUGUCUUUAAAUGAGUGGGAGCUUAAUUAUUAGAAGUGUGUACUCUCAUGGAAGUUUCUUUCUUAUGAAUACAUUUCCCUUUUAUUUAUAUGCAAAUAUAACAUUGGGACAGUGACUUUCUUGCAGGAAAACUUGUAGGAACCUUCUGCCUAAGAGUUUUGAUGAUUAACAGAGUGAGAAAUGGGAGUAUUAAAGGAAACACCACAAAAAAUGAGUUACUUAUUCUGUAGCAAUACCAGUGUUAGUAAGUAGGAAGGUAGUAGUAGCAGCAAGUAUUAAAGAAUAAAUUUUUCCUUGUGAGGGUGCUGAAGCCCUGG